UCCCAGACUCCUACGGGAGGCAGCAGUAGGGAAUCUUUCACAAUGGGCGAAAGCCUGAUGGAGCAACGCCGCGUGCAGGAUGAAGGCCUUCGGGUUGUAAACUGCUUUUAUAAGCGAGAAAUAUGAUGGUAACUUAUGAAUAAGCAUCGGCUAACUCCGUGCCAGCAGCCGCGGUAAUACGGAGGAUGCGAGCGUUAUCCGGAUUUAUUGGGUUUAAAGGGUGCGUAGGCGGAUUUUUAAGUCAGCGGUAAAAUGUCCGGGCUCAACCCGGGCCGGCCGUUGAAACUGGGGAUCUUGAGUGGGCGAGAAGUAUGCGGAAUGCGUGGUGUAGCGGUGAAAUGCAUAGAUAUCACGCAGAACUCCGAUUGCGAAGGCAGCGCACCGGCGCCCUACUGACGCUCAGGCACGAAAGCGUGGGUAUCGAACAGGAUUAGAUACCCUCGUAG
Molecule: ribosomal RNA, 446 nt
Filed under: uncultured bacterium
Lineage: Bacteria
Description: bacterial SSU rRNA
Rfam family: Bacterial small subunit ribosomal RNA
Source: RNAcentral